UCCCGCGCAUCCUUUUCAGUCAUGCACGCCUCCCUUCUCGUGCUUCUCCGCCCACUUUCUCUUUACUUGCAGUCGGACGAUAAUUCAGAAUACGCCGCUGUAUCCGAAGAGUUUGAGGAGAUGGAUGGAGAAUUAUUUACAGAUUCAAAGCAGGAUUGGGCCAGUGCAUCUGAAUCUGACUGGAUGAACGAGACGGGGAAAGGGAAAGGAAAACAAGGGGGGAAAAGAAAGAUGAAUCAACAAAACAGUAGCAAGAAGAAAAUAGCCAGAAGUAAAAACUUUAGGCUUCCAGACCUGAAGAAGAUGAAUGCUGAAUCAGUUAUGAAGCAGAUUAAGCCAGAAUGUGAACUGAAGGAAAACUGCUCAGAAACUGAUUUUAAUGAAGAUGACAGAAGGAGAAUGAAAGAAAAAACGAAAAAGCAAAGAUGCUUCAAGCAGAGUUACAACAAGAGACCAUUUUCCCACCAAAUAUCCAGUGUAAACGGGCAAACCAAGAAUAAAAAUGACACAGGGGUAGACGUAACAGAUGUCUUUCAAGAAGUCAGAAAUAAGAAACUGCUGGCUGUUCGUUGUGGAAAAAUGGCAGGUUGUCUGUACAGAAUAAAAUAUGACAAUGGUAAGUUUUGGGAGUACAAAAAUAAUUAUUAAUUGUAUUUAUUUUUC
This 663-nucleotide long non-coding RNA is filed under the name Sinocyclocheilus grahami. RNAcentral's name for it is "lncRNA (ENSSGRG00000008574.1)". Lineage: Eukaryota; Metazoa; Chordata; Actinopteri; Cypriniformes; Cyprinidae. The record is from RNAcentral.